This 199-nucleotide ribosomal RNA is filed under the name uncultured bacterium. RNAcentral describes it as "partial 16S ribosomal RNA". It matches the Rfam family "Bacterial small subunit ribosomal RNA", at positions 328 to 539 of the family's 1533-position model. The record is from RNAcentral.
ACGCUCGACACCUACGGGAGGGCAGCAGUGAGGGAUAUUGGUCAAUGGGGGAAACCCUGAACCAGCAACGCCGCGUGAGGGAUGACGGUCUUCGGAUUGUAAACCUCUGUCCUCUGUGAAGAUAAUGACGGUAGCAGAGGAGGAAGCUCCGGCUAACUACGUGCCNGCAGCCGCGGUAAUCUGAGCGGGCUGGCAAGGC